RNAcentral lists this long non-coding RNA (205 nucleotides) under Elaeis guineensis (African oil palm). Its description in RNAcentral is "long non-coding RNA (EGUI_LNC055228)". The record is from RNAcentral. Lineage: Eukaryota; Viridiplantae; Streptophyta; Magnoliopsida; Arecales; Arecaceae.
UGGUUAAAGUAUCAUUAGAAUGAAUUUCUCAAUCUAGUUAACUAGUGCUCGAAUAUCACAUCAACUAUUAAUCAACAUGUGAUAAUGUAUCAGUGCAUAUCAUGCAACCAAAAUCAUAAUUUUAUUCAACCAUUGUUGAAAUAAAUGAUUCAUUUUCAUAUUAUAACACUUUGAUAUGGUUAAAAUGAUUUUCCAAGAGUACACA